This 251-nucleotide ribosomal RNA is filed under the name uncultured bacterium. RNAcentral describes it as "partial 16S ribosomal RNA". It matches the Rfam family "Bacterial small subunit ribosomal RNA", at positions 15 to 260 of the family's 1533-position model. The record is from RNAcentral.
GACCCUGGCUCAGAUUGAACGCUGGCGGCAUGCUUUACACAUGCAAGUCGAACGGCAGCGAGGAGAAGCUUGCUUCUCUGUCGGCGAGUGGCGAACGGGUGAGUAUAGCAUCGGAACGUGCCAAGUAGUGGGGGAUAACCAAACGAAAGUUUGGCUAAUACCGCGUAAGCUCUAAGGAGGAAAGUAGGGGACCUAAUAAGGCCUUACGCUAUUUGAUCGGCCGAUGUCGGAUUAGCUAGUUGGUGGGGUAA